Molecule: ribosomal RNA, 801 nt
Filed under: Arthrobacter sp.
Lineage: Bacteria; Bacillati; Actinomycetota; Actinomycetes; Micrococcales; Micrococcaceae
Description: bacterial SSU rRNA
Rfam family: Bacterial small subunit ribosomal RNA
Source: RNAcentral
CGAACGAUGAUCCGGUGCUUGCACCGGGGAUUAGUGGCGAACGGGUGAGUAACACGUGAGUAACCUGCCCUUGACUCUGGGAUAAGCCUGGGAAACCGGGUCUAAUACCGGAUAUGACUGCCGGCCGCAUGGCCUGGUGGUGGAAAGCUUUAUUGCGGUUUUGGAUGGACUCGCGGCCUAUCAGCUUGUUGGCGGGGUAAUGGCCCACCAAGGCGACGACGGGUAGCCGGCCUGAGAGGGUGACCGGCCACACUGGGACUGAGACACGGCCCAGACUCCUACGGGAGGCAGCAGUGGGGAAUAUUGCACAAUGGGCGCAAGCCUGAUGCAGCGACGCCGCGUGAGGGAUGAAGGCCUUCGGGUUGUAAACCUCUUUCAGUAGGGAAGAAGCGAAAGUGACGGUACCUGCAGAAGAAGCGCCGGCUAACUACGUGCCAGCAGCCGCGGUAAUACGUAGGGCGCAAGCGUUAUCCGGAAUUAUUGGGCGUAAAGAGCUCGUAGGCGGUUUGUCGCGUCUGCCGUGAAAGUCCGGGGCUUAACUCCGGAUCUGCGGUGGGUACGGGCAGACUAGAGUGCAGUAGGGGAGACUGGAAUUCCUGGUGUAGCGGUGAAAUGCGCAGAUAUCAGGAGGAACACCGAUGGCGAAGGCAGGUCUCUGGGCUGUAACUGACGCUGAGGAGCGAAAGCAUGGGGAGCGAACAGGAUUAGAUACCCUGGUAGUCCAUGCCGUAAACGUUGGGCACUAGGUGUGGGGGACAUUCCACGUUUUCCGCGCCGUAGCUAACGCAUUAAGUGCCCCGC